UUUAUUGGAGAGUUUGAUCCUGGCUCAGGACGAACGCUGGCGGCGUGCCUAAUACAUGCAAGUCGAGCGGACCUGUAUGGAGCUUGCUCCAGACAGGUUAGCGGCGGACGGGUGAGUAACACGUAGGCAACCUGCCCGCAAGACCGGGAUAACGUAGGGAAACUUACGCUAAUACCGGAUAGGGCACUCUCUCGCAUGAGAGG
This 203-nucleotide ribosomal RNA is filed under the name Brevibacillus sp. RNAcentral's name for it is "partial 16S ribosomal RNA". It matches the Rfam family "Bacterial small subunit ribosomal RNA", at positions 1 to 197 of the family's 1533-position model. Lineage: Bacteria; Bacillati; Bacillota; Bacilli; Caryophanales; Paenibacillaceae. The record is from RNAcentral.